CGCUCAACCAAUCAGAAUUGUGUUUUAAUCCCAUUGGCUUGUCAAUUUUAUAAUAUUUUUCGUUGCUUUUACUACAGUAUUUAUAAUUUGCAAUUAAAUUUCAUUCAGAUCUUCAAAUUUUAUCAAAGAUACAAGGAAAAAUGUUGGAAAUUGCGAAUGAUCUUAAUAUUUUUUUUGCAUAUUCGAUUCGAUUGCCACGAGAUAUAUCGCCACGAGAAACACAGCGUAAAUCGAAUUUCAAACGUGUGGUGGGGAGGAUAUUCGAUAUCUCCUCGAGGUAGGAUUAUGAGUGUAACUUGUGUUUAUCAUCAGGAAAACCACUCACGCAGAGACGUUCCACGUACCAAAAGCGUAAUAUGUAUGAAUUCGCAUAAAUUUCAACUACUGAAUCGACCAUUCGUUGAUCGUUCACGUUCUAUUUUGCCCACGAUGAAUAAAUCUCUUUUUUUUUUCGUUCUUUUCUCCUUUUCGAAUUUAGUAGAUUCGGUUUUUCAAUUUUUGAAGUACAUCAUUAAAGUAUUAUUGCUCUUAUAAAUUAUAUCUAAUCAAUAACUUGAUAUUCUGAUGCCUAGUUGAAUAAUUGACCAAAUUGGAUGACCCAUAAAAGUAAACACCCCACUUCGAUCGGAUGAAUCGUUAACCUGAAUCACCCUCAAAGAGGAUCUACUCUACUUUGAAAAUUUCAACUACCAACAACAACAACAACAACCGUACAUGAUGUAGCUGGCUUGUAAAAGCGAACAGUCUGGUUAUCGGUUAAUUUAUAGCUAGACGACCUAUGUAGAUGAGGGUAGCCUCGAAUAAGGGGUCAGAUACAUGGAUGGUCGUCGAUCGAGCAUCAGGUCGAGCACCAAGGGGUCGAGAGGACACUUUCCUGUAUGUGGUUGGCCGCGAGGCGACGAUAUCGAUACGCUUCGAGACGCGAGUCGAAAGUCUGGGUUCACUCGUAGGAAUCUACUUCGAUCAGGAAUACACGCAGGAAUAUGGAACACACCCUGGAAACAAACACGAUAAACAUCAACAUGAUUGAGAAGGAUACACAAACUGUAUAGUUACUUGCUAACGAUAUAUUGAGAUUAGGGCGAUAUCGAGGGGAGAUUAAUGGAAAAAGUUUAAUUGGAAGACGUUAGAUCAAGA
Molecule: long non-coding RNA, 1137 nt
Organism: Apis florea (little honeybee)
Lineage: Eukaryota; Metazoa; Arthropoda; Insecta; Hymenoptera; Apidae
Source: RefSeq, a predicted model, not a curated record